This 1648-nucleotide long non-coding RNA is filed under the name Triticum aestivum (bread wheat). Its description in RNAcentral is "long non-coding RNA (TAES_LNC007304)". Lineage: Eukaryota; Viridiplantae; Streptophyta; Magnoliopsida; Poales; Poaceae. The record is from RNAcentral.
AGGAUAAAUGAGGUUGAUAAUGUGAGGGGGUACCUGCCAUGUGUUGCAUUGUUCCUCGAGGCAGUGGUGGAGCUAUAGCAAGAAAUAGGAAAGCAAUGAACAAUUUUCCAUGGCAAGUGCUUAUCGUCAGGAUCCUUCGUAAUUUGCCCAGGCUAUCUGGCCGACGUGGCUCCCACAUGGAGAAGAAAGAAAGGGGAUGACUCAGCGGCAGGCUAUCAAGCCAGCGUUACAUAAUAAGAAUAAAGUCAAUGUAUAAAUAUACCAUUGAUUGUCGGUGUCGUUUCCACAUAUGUUCGCAAGACAACAAAAGAAGGAUGGAAGAUCGGAGCUAGCAAUGGGAUGAAAGGGGUGAUGAGAGAUCAGAUCUGACCAUGGAACGGAGGAAGAAUGAGAGACCGGAUCAGAUAGCAUGAACAAUGGUAGAAAGAUGCUUGAACAUGACCACAAAUGUGAUGGGGAGAAGGGCGGGCACCUAGAUCCAGCCAUCGAGAGGAUGAAUGCAUCCUCUGUUCUCGAUGGGACCAAAUCUAAAUGCGGGGAUGAUAUGGAGCCCAGAUCUGGCCAUUAGUGACUGAUUGCGAUACUAGAUCUUGAUACAUGGAGGAUAAGGAACACGUUGACGAUGUUUCACCAACGCAACAAGGCAGGAUCGAUACUUUGGAGGAUGGUCGGCAAAAUAGAAGGGAGAUGUGAUAGCUUGUUAGCCAUAAUCCUCAUCGAUAAUCUUUUUCUUGUACUUAAACUAUGCAUUGCCUGUGGUCAAGAAAGGAUAAAUGAGGUUGAUAAUGCGAGGGAGGGUUCCCCGCAAAAAAAAGAUAACGUGAAGGAGGGUACUUUUCAUGUGUUGCAUUGUUCCUCGAGGCAGUGGUGAAGCUAUAGCAAGAAAUAGGAAAGAAGUGAACAAUUUUUCACGGCAAGUGCUUAUCACCGGGAUCCUUCGUAAUUUGCCCAGACUAUCUGGUCGUCGUGGCUCCCACAUGGAGAAGAAAGAAAGGCGAUGGCUCAGCGUCAGGCUAUCAAGCCAAUGUUACAUAAUAAGAAUAAAGUCAAUGUAUAAAUAUACCAUUGAAUGUCGGUGUCGUUUCCACAUAUGUUCGCAGGACAACAAAGGAAGGAUGGAAGAUUGGAGUUGGCAAUGGGAUGAAAGGGAUGAUGAAAGAUCAGAUCUAACCAUGGAACGAAGGAAGAAUGAGAGACCAGAUCACAUAGUGUGAAUAAUGGUAGAAAGAUGCUUGAACAUGACCACAAAAGUGAUGGGGAGAAGGGCGGCCACCUAGAUCUAGCCAUCGAGAGGAUGAAUGCAUCCUCUGUUCUUGAUGGGACCAAAUCUAAAUGUGGGGAUGACAUGGAGACCGGAUCUGGCCAUUAGUGGUUGAUUGCGAACCUAGUUCUAGAUACAUGGAGGAUAAGGAACACGUUGACGGUGUUUCACCAACGCAACAAGGAAGGGUCGAUACUUUGGAGGAUGGUCGGCAAAAUAGAAGGGAGAUGUGAUAGGUUAGCCAUAAUCCUCCUCGAUAAUCUUUUUCUUGCACUGAAACUAUGCAUUGCCUGUGGUCAAGAAAGGAUAAAUGAGGUUGAUAAUGUGAGGGAGGGUUCCCCGCAACAAAAAGAUAAUGUGAAGGAGGGUACUUUUCAUGUGUUGAAU